This 567-nucleotide ribosomal RNA is filed under the name uncultured bacterium. RNAcentral describes it as "bacterial SSU rRNA". It matches the Rfam family "Bacterial small subunit ribosomal RNA", at positions 338 to 916 of the family's 1533-position model. The record is from RNAcentral.
CCUACGGGAGGCAGCAGUGGGGAAUAUUGCACAAUGGGCGAAAGCCUGAUGCAGCGACGCCGCGUGAGGGAUGACGGCCUUCGGGUUGUAAACCUCUUUCAGCAGGGAAGAAGCGAGAGUGACGGUACCUGCAGAAGAAGCGCCGGCUAACUACGUGCCAGCAGCCGCGGUAAUACGUAGGGCGCAAGCGUUGUCCGGAAUUAUUGGGCGUAAAGAGCUCGUAGGCGGCUUGUUGCGUCGGUUGUGAAAGCCCGGGGCUUAACCCCGGGUCUGCAGUCGAUACGGGCAGGCUAGAGUGUGGUAGGGGAGAUCGGAAUUCCUGGUGUAGCGGUGAAAUGCGCAGAUAUCAGGAGGAACACCGGUGGCGAAGGCGGAUCUCUGGGCCAUUACUGACGCUGAGAGCGAAAGCGUGGGGAGCGAACAGGAUUAGAUACCCUGGUAGUCCACGCCGUAAACGUUGGGAACUAGGUGUUGGCGACAUUCCACGUCGUCGGUGCCGCAGCUAACGCAUUAAGUUCCCCGCCUGGGGAGUACGGCCGCAAGGCUAAAACGUUAAUGAAUUGACGG